AAUUCUGAUUUAAUAACUGUUGGUUUAUUUAUCGGUGCAGCAGCAGAACAUUUUCCACAGACAGUUUUCCUGCCCGUUGGCUUGUUUUAACCAGUUUUCUACCUUCGGCUGAUUCUACCACCAGACACUAAAAGGACUCUGAUAGUUCGAGGGAAAGUAGCAGUUCCUCCUUAAGGUCAGAGAUUGCAGCAUCUGAGGGCCUCUUCAAAAGAAGACGUAGUUGAUGAAGGCGUUCUGGAGCAGGACCAGAAAGACCACGACCAAGCAGCCUUGAGAUCUUAGGCAGCGUCUCCCUCAGGUCCCUCUCUAUCUCCCCACACAUCCACCAACCACUGGACCACAUCUCCAAAGUUCUGCAGGGCCAGCUCAGCUUCCCCUCAGAAGAAGUGCCGCCACCUGCCAGAUGAAGGAGCCUUUUGAGAGGCAGCUGGCAUCGUGAUUGGACUGUACUUUGGUCUGUUCCAAUCCAGCUUCAGCUCCAGAGACGGCAGGCGGGACGAGUCAACGGAGGCCGGGUGGACGAAGGCAUGCAGUUGAGUACAAUCCAGAAAACAACAGAGGAGGAGUGCAGUGGCCCAGGGCCAGAACAAAC
Amphiprion ocellaris (clown anemonefish) is the source of this 592-nucleotide long non-coding RNA. RefSeq lists it as uncharacterized. The transcript is spliced from 3 exons. NCBI's taxonomy places the organism in Eukaryota, Metazoa, Chordata, Actinopteri, Pomacentridae. The record is from RefSeq and is a predicted model, not a curated record.